GACGAACGCUGGCGGCGUGCUUAACACAUGCAAGUCAAGGGGGCCCGCAAGGGUAACCGGCGAACGGGUGCGUAACACGUGAGCAAUCUGCCUAGAUGUGGGGGAUAGCCGGCCCAACGGCCGGGUAAUACCGCAUACGCUCGUCGACUGGCAUCAGUUGACGAGGAAACUUUCGAGGCAUCUAGAGGAGCUCGCGGCCUAUCAGCUAGUUGGUGGGGUAACGGCCUACCAAGGCGGUGACGGGUAGCUGGUCUGAGAGGAUGGCCAGCCACAUUGGGACUGAGAUACGGCCCAGACUCCUACGGGAGGCAGCAGUGGGGAAUAUUGCGCAAUGGUCGAAAGGCUGACGCAGCGACGCCGCGUGGGGGAUGAAGCAUUCGGUGUGUAAACCCCUGUUGCUCGGGACGAACAAGCCUUUUCGAGGGCUCUGACGGUACCGAGUGAGGAAGCACCGGCUAACUCCGUGCCAGCAGCCGCGGUAAU
This 483-nucleotide ribosomal RNA is filed under the name uncultured bacterium. RNAcentral describes it as "bacterial SSU rRNA". It matches the Rfam family "Bacterial small subunit ribosomal RNA", at positions 28 to 524 of the family's 1533-position model. The record is from RNAcentral.